This 215-nucleotide long non-coding RNA is filed under the name Lathyrus oleraceus (garden pea). RNAcentral describes it as "Pisum sativum (pea) long non-coding RNA (PSAT_LNC006077)". Lineage: Eukaryota; Viridiplantae; Streptophyta; Magnoliopsida; Fabales; Fabaceae. The record is from RNAcentral.
AAACUUCUUAGGUGUUCACCUCUUGAGAUCAUAUGUAGAUGAUCCAAGUGAUUCCUUUGGAAUAGGCAACAAGCACAAAGCAAAUGAGCAAGGUUCAAAAAUAAAGAUGGAAACAGAUGGCCAAUAAAUGGUCUUAUAUCCAACUCCACAACAAGAAACAGAAUAGGAAACAAGUUGCCAAUCAAUGGUCUUAUACCUGACUCCAAAAAAUGAUC